GAGUUUGAUCCUGGCUCAGGACGAACGCUGGCGGCGUGCUUAACACAUGCAAGUCGAGCGAUGAAAUUCUAUUCGGAGAAUGGAUUAGCGGCGGACGGGUGAGUAACACGUGGGUAACCUGCCUUAUAGUGGGGGAUAGCCUUUCGAAAGGAAGAUUAAUACCGCAUAAUAUUGUGGUUUCGCAUGAAACAACAAUUAAAGAUUUAUCGCUAUAAGAUGGACCCGCGGCGCAUUAGCUAGUUGGUGGGGUAACGGCCUACCAAGGCGACGAUGCGUAGCCGACCUGAGAGGGUGAUCGGCCACAUUGGGACUGAGACACGGCCCAGACUCCUACGGGAGGCAGCAGUGGGGAAUAUUGCACAAUGGGGGAAACCCUGAUGCAGCAACGCCGCGUGAGUGAUGACGGUCUUCGGAUUGUAAAGCUCUGUCUUUAGGGACGAUAAUGACGGUACCUAAGGAGGAAGCCACGGCUAACUACGUGCCAGCAGCCGCGGUAAUACGUAGGUGGCAAGCGUUGUCCGGAUUUACUGGGCGUAAAGGGAGCGUAGGCGGAUUUUUAAGUGGGAUGUGAAAUACCCGGGCUUAACCUGG
This 591-nucleotide ribosomal RNA is filed under the name uncultured bacterium. RNAcentral's name for it is "bacterial SSU rRNA". It matches the Rfam family "Bacterial small subunit ribosomal RNA", at positions 9 to 617 of the family's 1533-position model. The record is from RNAcentral.